GCUGAUUUCGUAAUGGGAAACCCGAGUUCUAUUUCCAUCACAAUGGAAUAAAAUAUAUUUUAGUUUCGAUUUAAUCUUAAACAUCUUGCAUUUUCUUUUUUCUAAUUUUGGAAAAGAUAAUUGUGGGAGAUAAAAUAAUUGAACACUUUCCAUCGCCCUCGGUCAUGAUAGUCAGCAAACCCAAAGAUAACGACAUGUAUCAUUAUACAGUAACAUACACAGACGAUACUCAAUCUGAUGACGAUGAUGUCGAGGUUAUACAGGAAAACAUCAGCAUAGUAUGUCCUUACACUAGAUGUGUAAUGAAAACGCCUGUAAGAAACAAAAUUUGUGGACAUACUUUUGAUCGAAAUGCCAUGAUUGAAUAUUUGAAAUUGAGUCGUUUUCCAAGAUGUCCAAUAGCCGGAUGCUCGAAUUUGAAACGUCUUGAAGCAUCGGAUUUCGAAAUAAACGAAAUGUUGAAGCUGCACAUUGACAGGUCAAGAAGAUAAUUCCAAUUUUGGGAUAUAUCACCUGCAUGUGAAGAACAUUUUGAAAAUCACAAAGAGAACAUGAACUGCUAUCUUCAAUUAAGACUGAUAGUAUGUUUGAAAACAAGCUCUCUUUUAAAGAGAAAGAGCCCACUUUGCAGAACAAUAAUUUAAAUAUUACAUAUUGUUAUAUGUACUAGUGUUUGUUUGUAUGUUUUUAUUUUUUAUGUUUAAAGUAUUUCAUUACAAGCAUAGUUUUUUUUCUCAUAACUGGCUUUUUGAUCUAUUGCUGCAAUGCAAAACUAAACAAUGAAAUAUAUACAUGCAUUUACAUUUAUGAAAUCAUGUCAUAGUACUUAGAUAUAUUUACAAACAUAAAUCAGAUGAACUUUGGAUAUAGGUUCAAGCAUCAGAGCUAUAACAGGAAAUCAACAGCUUGGUAAAUGCAUUUUCGUUUCUAAAUGAUUGUAUAUUUUUGUAUAUUCUGUUUACCAGUCAUAUUGUCAUAAUAAAAGUGACAUGUUUAAAAGCAUGUACGCUAAAUUUAAGAAGACAAGGAAUUUAAGAUUGGAACGAAAUACGAAAAAAAAAGCAAUUUUUGCAAUUUUUUCAACUUUGAUUAGCAAUAACUACCACAACAGCCCAAGUCUAUUAAGGCUAUUAAUAACUUAUGAUAUUGGAACGCGUAACAUAUUUACAAAACAUAUAUAUUGUACAUACAACAGAAGAGAAUAAUAUACAUAUGCAUAGUAUAGGUACAUUGUUAUAUAAGAGAUACAAUAACAAAUAAAAUUAUUUUACAGUUGAAAAAUAAUGAUUUAUGGGCGUAUAUUGUUAUCUUAAAUGAAAGCGAAAGUUAAGACAAUGUUUUAAAUCAUUCAUUUUAAACAUGAACAUUACUAUAUUCAUCCUAGGUGACAAAAAUAAUAUAAGCUACUGAGUCUCGUACCAAUAACUGAAUCCUAAUCGAAAAACGAAAAAUUAAGAGAAAGCGAAGGUACAGUCUUUGUGUUCAUGCUUUAUAAAUGAUUAUCAAUAGACGGAUGUCAUUAGAAUUAUUCCUAAAUAAAUCAAUGAUCUUAAUUAUUUAAAAAAAACACAUUAAGCAUGUAAAUAAAAAUAACUAUACAGUAUAUGUCUGAGAAACAUACUACAUAUACUAAAAAGCGAUAACGUUGCCUGCUACUUUUUUAACGUGAAGAUAAAAGCUUUGCAAGCGCGAUAGCAAUAUGAGAGUUGACAAUUACACUAUCAAUAAGUUUACAUGAGAUAUGUAAAAACAUUUUACAUUGAUAUAUGUAGUCAUAGCAAAUAAAUGUGCUGUAUUGGUCAAAACCUAAAUUUGCUAUAAUAGCGUUUCAGAAGGCACAUCUUUCAGUCUUCUCCAAAUCCCUCCAGAGGCGUGCACGUCGCGGAGAAGGCACACGGCAGGUCAAGGUCAAGUCAUCUUAAGUACCAGAGGUGAUUGGUUGACCUGUCGUGACUAACUCUGGAGGGUGGCGCUAACAAGAGCCGUUUUAUGUCAACCGCCUGUUUGCAGCCGUCACGGAACUUGAUGCUUUUCCGGUAUUGUCUUGCCUCCACCGAACGAAGUACAGGACUUAGGAAGAUCGGCAUGAAAAAGACGUCCCCGAUGAGACUACUAGAGUGGACCGGCAUGGACGCUGAGAUCUCGGACAUAUGGAAUUUCCGGCGCCGAGCUAUAAUAAACUUAAAACAACAACAACAACAUCUUUCAGUCUCUUUCCUGUGACAAAUACACAUAAGAUGUUCUGUAAUGUCAUUCGUAAGAGGAUUGCAAAUGCUAUAUCGGCGCACAUAUGAAGAACACAUCCUGUAUCCAACUGCCCUGGCAAGUGUUUCAGCAACCAAUUUUAAACCCGAAUAUUGUCGAAUAAUAACCAUGAAAGGCGAAAUCUUAGAAAGAUGAAGUAGAAAUGUUAAUGACUUGUAACUUGUUGGCUCACUUGUGGCGUUAAAGUUUCUAAGAAUAAAUCUUUUGUUGAUUCAUUGAUUACCAUCAUCUUUAAAAUCUUCUUCCAUUUUAAUUUAGAUGAAAACACACCGGCAUCAAUAAAAGAAUAAAUGACGUUUUACAGAUCAUAUUUCUGCAGUAAUCUAGAUAUGUUUGGAUUAAAUCAAUGUUUCUGUCUAUCCACAUUCACAUAUCUAAUCAAUCUAUUAACAAGUAUCUGUUAAGCAUGAUAUUUUGAUUGCAAUCGGCAUAAUUGACAAAAUAAUUUAUCAAAGUAAGUAUGUUUGGUAUAUUCAACAUACAUAAUGCACUAGAUAUAUGAAAAGUUUGUAUAAAUUUUACACAGUACUGUGCUAAUUCUAAAUUUGAUAUGUCUUUAUCCAGUUUUCACAACCAUAUAGCGCUUUAGGUACAACAACUGUCAUGUACAUUUUAUAAAAAUAUAUACUGUAAAGGUAAGCCAAAAGUUAAAACUUGAUAUUAUUCCACUAAAUCAAUUGUAAAAACUACCACAACAACCUAGGUCUAUUUCGUCUAUCAAUAACUCUAUACUAUAAGUAGCUGUGCAUACAAAUGUUCACCCCUCUAUCGUGAUUAACUGUUAGAAAAACAAAAUAUCCUUACAUUACUAAAUAGACUAUAAAGCAAAUUUCAAUCCUGUUUUAUAUAAUGUUGUUGUGUCAUAAUUGUAUCAUAAUUGUAUAUGUUUGCAUUUUAUGAAGAAAAUACUGUUUAAACCAAACAAA
Molecule: long non-coding RNA, 3191 nt
Organism: Ruditapes philippinarum (Manila clam)
Lineage: Eukaryota; Metazoa; Mollusca; Bivalvia; Venerida; Veneridae
Exons: 4
Source: RefSeq, a predicted model, not a curated record